AACAAAUUUUCAUGGUUUCAAAACUGUGUAAUCUGUUCGUAGACUUAUGCUACUUGGGUUUGGUAAUGCUUGGGUCCUUCAAUGUAAUAUGCCUGGUUUUUCAGGUUAAAUGUGAUCCUUUGAUAAAAAUGUUGAUAUAAAUUGUGUAACAGAGAAGUCAGCACUCAGCAUGUUUUUCUUCCAAAAGGCUAGGCAAGAAUUGGUUCAUGAGGUUGUUGUGAACAAAGACUUAGUAAAGAAGGCAUUUGAAAACGUACAGGUAACGCAGGGAACCCAUCUGCAUUUCCAGUGUCACAAGCAUGGUGAAGCAUCAGUUCCCAGUGUGCACUACUCCGCUGCAGUGUAUGGUACAGCAUGGAAAACGAGGAGGUUUGGCUGUGUAUGAUUUAGGGAAUGUGUUACUCAACGUGGUUAAUUGGUAAGUUGAACCCUCACUAUUGGCUUUGUGUAUGGAUUGAUUUUACAAAGCGACUGUAAAAGAGGCGGUUUGUUAACUGGAGGCAGUUCAGUAUCCUGGAAAAUGAAAACUUAAUACUUAAAUCAACAAAACGAAAAGCUCGGACUGGUAAAUAAUGCUGUUUAGUGGAUGUCUCUUAUCUGCUUUUCCUAGGAGAUCUGGUUCUGGACCGGACUGAGCCUGCACAAAGCCAGCUGGAGUCUCUCUCGUGCCCUGUGCUCCCUUGCAGGCAGAGAUGCGGGGAGGUAGCACAGGAGCUGGGGGCUGGUGUGACUUCUUAGCCUGAGCUCACCUCUGUGCAAACAAAGAUAUCUGCUUCCAGAUCCUAAUGGGAAGCCUUCUGCGCUUACCGUUAACACUGCUGGCUACCAGUUUUGUAACUCUGUCUUAGUUAAUGAGCAGGUAUCUAAUAAUGUCUUAAAAGUUCCAUUAAUGAGGCCUUGCUUUCUGUGAUGGAGUGGUAAAGGGCUUGUUAAGUGAGGAAAUCAAUAAGAUGCUGGACGAUUGUGUGUGGAUAAUUUACCAGUUACGUCUCCGUGGGCGAUGGAGUUGCCUUAAAUCAGCAUUUCCUGAACUUGGAUGAACUGACCUCUGUUGUUUGCCAAGUAUGAUUGAUUUUUAAUAUCAGCUGAAAAUACUUGGAGUCUUACUGUUUUAUGUAAUUGUAUAGACUAAUUACAGACCGCUCGUUAUGGUCUUUGAGAUCCCCAGAAGUGCACACGCUUGGAAACCGCUGCCUGUUCAAGAAAGAGAAUCUGAUCCUUUGCUUUGAGUAGUGGAAAGGGAUUAGGAAAGGCAUGCUCCUGGGGCACGGAGUGAUUUCCAAAGGCAAGGAGUCUUGUAAUUUCUGUAUUGUUCUCAGACAAGGAUGUUGCUUAGCAAAACAAUGGGGAUCUCUUUAGCUCCUGCUAAAGCCAAGGUACAAGUGAGCGGUAGGUCUCAGGCCUUACAGGUUACUGUUUAAUCUUUGCGUGCAUGAUAAUGACUAAGAUUAAACAAGUUUUAAUUGAUAUAGUCCAGAGCAUGGUCACAUGGCUGGGGGGAGGGGUUGCUCGAAAUCAGUAAUCUCGUUUGACAAAUGCAGCCUUUUCAGUUUACUGCUUCUGGUCUCCCUUUAUUACAGGAUCUGAAACAGCGUAGUGACCGUUCUUAAGCUGUGAAGGCUUAAAAAUGUGGUUUUAGUACUGCUAUUACUUGGAACAUAUACUUCUCUCUUUUAUGUGCUCUAUGUUAAAUAAAAUAGUCCCUAAACUGUAAUGGAGCCUGCAAAAUGGUCCUAAUACCAGUGAUUACUAAAGAUUUUGGGAAAUUAUUAUUUUAUAGAGUGAUUUAAUGAACAGUAUCCAAGCGUGUCACUUCAUUUUGAAGCAUGGGUUAAGUCUUACUAGAAAAGACUGGAAUCAAAGCUCAUAAAAAUCUGAAGUAUGUAUUUUACCUUUUUUUUUUUUUUUUUGUGCUGAGGUGCUUCUGAAUCAAGAACGAAGGGGCAGGGGAGCUCUUGUUCAGGCUUCCCUCUAAACGGGGAGUUGUUUGAUGUGCUGAGGACCGUUUGAUCUAAGUCAGGGUUUGGGGUGCAGAGUUUAUCCCGCCUGCUUAAACUUCACAGCAAGCACAUGAAGAGACGAGAAUGGAAACAUUGACAGAAGUUUAAUAGGGUAGUGGAUCGCCUCCCCCAGCACAGCAGCACUUUCUACCGUGGUGAAUGUGUCGUAAGUAGACAGGAUAAAUGUGUGGUGGAACGAUGGAGAGCGUACAGGCAAAAGGAAGAGCCUGGUGGUAGGCCAAGAUGGUCUCGGUUGGCUGGAUGUAAAUAAUUUUAAUUGUCUGGGGUUUAUUUAAAAGCCACUGUCCAGGAACUUCUAUAAAAUCUGUGAAAUUAGUGUUAAAACCAUAACUUGUAAUUUCAGGUUUGUGUUUGCCUUUCUUCUCUAGGUCCUGUUCCAUGACCGUUGCGCCUUAACGUGUCUGUCAUUUAACAGUUACAAUGAGUAGUUGUGUGGUAUUUUUUGUUUGUUUGUGUUUUUUUUUUCAUAAUUUCCAUUCCUGGGAAUGCAGCGUGUCAUUUCAGUAUCAGGUCCUCUCUUUCCUCAUUGUCACUUAAAACAGAAAUUUUUGUAUCAGAAAUGAAAACAACUUCAUUCCCUGUAAGGAAAUCCCACAGCUUUCAGCUGAUCUAGAGAGCUGUAAGGGAUUGACUCUCGUUGAAUUCCUUUUGUAUGGUAGAAUUUUUUAAUCCUCCCUACUCCAUUGUGGUUCUGCCAAGCUAAUGAGGGCAAGAGGUAAAAACAGGUAGGAUCAGUGAACAUGAGUCUGGAUACAUGUGCGUGUUAUCAAAAUUUGUACUUUCCCGUUAGGUGGUUUUGGGUUGUUAGGGCUUCGGGACUGGAGUUCUGUCUUCUCAUGCUACAUUUGUGAUGGUGUCUUGCUUUGGGAAUCUGUGUGAAGAUUUUUUUUUUUUUGUAUUUUGAGAAGGAGUAGAAAAUGUCACAUUAUAUUGCAUUUUGGAAAAUUUACUACUAUUAUCUGUGUACUUCCUUCUAUUAAAAUAUAUCUUUGUGCCCACUAUAAGGUGCUCCUUCUAGAACAUAUUUGCACACUUUUCUUAGCUCAUUACUAAAUACAGUUCCAUAAAUACAGUGUUGUUGAAGACUUCUGUGUUUUCCACUUCUGCUUCCUUUCUGGAGUCAUAUUUGUUUGUCGUUAGCGUCCAGAGAAGUUUCUGGAAAAGUCAUUAUGACACAAAUGGCGUUAUGAUUUCAGAAGGAGUGUGGGAAUUUUUUUUCUUUUCCGAGAGGAAAAUAGAAGAUGGAAGUUGGGGAAAUACGGGAACUGAAUUGUAGGUUUGCAGCUGGAGCUCUGUGCGUGUUAUAAAAUAGAGAAUUGCAGCCUUGAACGUCUAAGUGCUGUUGCAUUUCUCAGAACCAGCUUCACUGCACUUUCUUCGUGCUGAUGAUAAAAGAGAGUAGACAUGGAAAGAGGAAUAUACGGCAGUGCUUGGUAAAGGUGGGGCCUUCGUUUCGUCAGGAGAAAAGCCUGAUUCCUGCUCCAAAGCACUUACUGUCCACGUGUCCAACACGCCAUGGCUGAUGAACAGACAGCAGAAUAGAAGCAAGCCAGUAGCUCGACCCCUGUGAAGUGGUUUCUUUUUAUUCAUCUGCAUUGGAGUAGUUGUCCUUAAACAUUUUAGAUCAACUCUUACUUUUAUUUUUUUGCAAUUUUUGCCUUCCAUGGGUUUACAUAUAUAACCAUUCCCUGUCUAAAGUCUCUGAGCCUCCAUAUUGAGACCCCGUGCUGCCUGUCAGACCCUGUUCCCCAGAAAGAAGUAACAUUUACCCCUGAAGCUCCAGAAGAGUUGGGGCGGGCCCCAUUUUGAGUAGCUGUUCCAUCCGCUGUCCUGGCUAUCACUGGAGCUUCCCUGUACAUCGUUGCUGCUCGGUCUCCUCAUCCCUCUGCCUGCCUUAAAGCUCUGCUGCCGAGGGUUUCAGCUCUCUGCCCUGCCCUCCUGGGGGAGCUCCCUGGACUUGCCCCCCAUGGGUGGCUGUGGCCGAGCAGUGGGGUCGGCUGUAGGAAGGGGCAAGGCAGCCCUGUCCAUGGUCCUAGAGCUCAGCGGGGCUUCACACCCCCGGGACUCUCCUUUAGGGAUGGGCAAGUGGCCUCACUUGCCUUCUAUCCUCACUGGCUUCAAAUAAACGUUAUGUUCUUCUUGAAGCUGAUGUAUAGGGAAGAAGUUUCUCCUGUAGAUAGGAAAAAAAGAAGAAAAGAGGAAAGUCAGGAGACACUCACUGGGUGGAACCUUUCUGUGUGCUUUCCUGCUGUGGUAACGUCUUCCAUCCCCCGUCUCCUUCCCGUUCUGUGUUUAGCGAUGCGUGUAGCUCAGGACAGUUUGUAGGUUCUGUGAAAAACAAGCGUUGGUAACAAAACUACCUGGUAGGUAGGAAAACACGAGGGUGUGAUUCUGAAGAAACAAGUGGGUGCUGGUGGCUGGGGUAAGUCUGAUCAGAGGAAAGGGGAUCGGAAGUGAAGGAGAGGUGGUUGGUGUUGCCUGCUUGUGAGCGUUAAGAUCAGAGACCAUCAUCUUACAUUUGCUGCAAAAGGGAGAGCUAUUGCAAGUACGGAGAGGGAUGCUUUGCACAGAAGACAAAUGAAAGGCUUUUUAGCAGUAUCGUGAACGGAUGUGGCUGAGGACGACUGUAUUUGUCAAGGCCAGAAUUGUGUAACGAUCAAAAUUAAAUGGUGAGAAGCUCUAAGCUUGUGGUAGAAAUACUGUGCAGAAGGAGUCUGUGUGGCUGGUGAUAGGUUUCAGUUCAAGAAAACCUGUUGGCUAUAAUCUGGUAAAGUGUGUGCUAACGUUGCAGGCAUGGAGGAAGAGUGCAAGGGGGAAAAACAAGAGCUGUGUUUUGGCUACAUUAUGGUCAGACAUCUGUGAUGACAGGCUGAGAUGUUCAUUUUUUGCAGGAGGAAGCAUGUAGGAGCAGGAGAAGCUGCUGUGAGAGUCGCUGAUUUAAAGGCAGCAAUCAAAUGGCUGCUGUGGAUGAGACUGGAAAUGAGCGAAGUGUUUUGUUGAAUCAUUAGGGGUUGAUUCAUUGUAUAUCAAAAGCCAAACAAAGCAAUUAAAAGGAAAAACAAAGCAAAAUAAGCCCAAAAGUUGUAUUUAGGAGCCAGUCAUUAAACUGAGAGCUGGCUAAGUCAGCAGAACUGAAGAGUUUAUUUACUAAAGCAUGGCAAAUAUUUAGGAAAUGUCCCGAGAAAGGGGAAAACGAUGGGAGAAAACUAUGGACUUGAAACACCUGGAGAAGAACAUCACAAACGAGCAGAGCCUGACAGAAAUGGGAAGAAAAAGGUCAUCAGAGGAAUGUAGUACACUGAAAAGUGUGGGUAAAGGUAACGGGCAGAUUUGGAAAAGUCCGGUUUCUUUAGCUACAGCAGCAGGCAGUAAGGAAAACAAAGCCAUUCCUUAGGCACGUGGAGCUGUGAGGAGAGAAGGAAGGGGUGUUACGUGGUUAGAAUGUAGUAGCAGCGGUAAUGCAGGUAUUGCCAGCUCUCAAGGAUUGCUCUGCCACAGUUUGGGAGCUCAAAGCGGGGCAGAAGAUAGAAUGGGUAGUGGAAAUAGAGAUGCAAGUUGGCAAAGCAGUAAACAAAACUCUGAGCUUAAAGCCCUGGAUCUGUUGGGGCUGGUUAACUUGUUUUCAGGGAUUCUGAAAGAAUUAGGAUGGUGAUGAGCAAAUGCUCCUGAUAAAUCCUCUGAAGACUAGGAUGAUACCUCUUGUAAGCACAGAUGGAAAAAAAGAAAGUCAGGAUGGAAAUAAGAAGAGAAGUAUUUACAGCUAAUAAAAACGAUGGCAGCAGAUAGAGAAACGCAGACCACGGCUGUUAAAUUGAGGAGAAAUGUUCUUAUUCAAAGAUUGUAUCCCCAGACGAGUGGCAGGCUAGCAAAGUAACCAGCUCCUCUUCCUGCUUUUAGAAAUGUUUGAAAAACAGUGGAAAAAUGUCUUUUCAGCCUUUGCCAGAAGACCAUGCUUUCAUGUUUGCUUUCAGUUUUGAAGUUGUAGUCAGAUGUGCAAGAACUUCACACAGGGAAAACUUGUGAAUGAAGGGUUUGGGGAGUUUCUCAGGACGCUGCGGAAGAAUGCAGCAAAGAGAGGAACAGCGGUGGCACUGGGAGGGCAUCAGAGAGCUGACGUGAUUGUUUAGGCCAUGGAUGGCUUUUAAAAAGAUUUGGAAAGUGCUUUGAAGUCAUGUCUGAUCUUAAGCCCGUUUUUCUUUCUUUAAUGCCUUGAUUUUGAGGCUUGUUUAAACAGCGUUUCUGCUCCUCUGGAUACGGUACGGUGGCUCCUUCUGCACUCCUUCACCAGUGCUGGCAGUUUCUUAGGAAAACAGAAUCCCUGAGAACCGUGCUUCUGAAGCUGUAGGGGAUGAUUACAGCCAGGUUUCAUGUAAAGGUAAAAUCUCUGCUUCAGUGCAUUUUCUCUGAGACUUUUUUUCUUUUUCUUAAACCCGUCUGGAAAAUGUGGGUGAAGUUACAGGACAACCAGAGGGUUGGUGUUUGUAACUGUUUAGUUCCUUGCAAGCUGGUGGUAGGGGACUUUCUUUUGUUUUCCCCAGCCUUUUCCCCACACACUCACAUUUGUUAGCACUGAGCAAAAGCUCUUCUCUAUGCAAAGUGCUCACUGCAUGCAGCGGCUCUUGCUGGGACAUAAGCUGGGAGAGUUUUUGCUGUUAGAUAUUAGAUUUUCCUGUGGUUAAGAUGACUACCAGCUUCUUUUGUUUGGACUAAAUCCAGGCUUCUUGCAUGAAAUUUCUCUCACUGUUGGUGUUGAGGGGAGGAGUAAACUGGGCUAGGAAGCAACAGAAGAAAGGAAUGCAAGAAAAUUAGAGUCGGAAGGUAGCUGAACUGUUUGCGAAGUAGCAUGAGGAUCGGUCAAAAGUGAAGAGCAAGAAAAUGGAGUCAGGGUUAAAACCAGACUCGGGGCGGGGGAAUCAUCCAAGGGUAGAAGCUCCGGUGGUGGCGUAUGUGGGGUGGAGGAGGGUCGGGGCUGCCCUCUGCCCCGUUACGAAGGGCAGAAGGACAGAUAUCAGGAGUCUAAGCAAGUUCAGAGAAAUAAGAAUGGACAGGAACUGCAGGGGAAGGGAGAAUGCAGCGGUGUUGAUGCAGAAGGUGGGACGCAAAUGGCAGAGGGCUAACGUGAAGGGGGUCAGCAGGGUAGGGAGGCAGGCAGGGGAGUUGGAGAAGGGGCAGCGAUGGAGGGAAGCGGCUGCCUUGUGAUGCCACGGACCCGUCCUACCCACAGUUCAGGAGAGUGGAAAGAGGUCUGUGCGUCUACAUCCAGAAAGUGGACAGGACUAAGUGUUACCCAGACUUCGUUAGCUGCUGUGUACGUCCCAAAGUUAAUUGUAUUUGGAAAGAGAAAAUAACUUGCCUUACAGGGGAGAAUUUACCGAUGGAGGGACUGAGAUACAGUGCAGUAACUGGAUAGCGACGUUCCUUUAAGCAACGCUGCUUUGCAGCCGUAAGCUUGGGUAGCAUGAUGUAGGAUUUUUCGUCCAGAGCAGAAGGCUUUGUUUUCGAGGGAGUAGGUGUUGGGCAGAAUUUGAAAAAUUUCCUUCUUCAUAUACGCGAGCUCUGUUUCACAAAAAUAUUUACUACGGAAGUGACAUUGCGCGGUGAAACUAUUUCUUUGGAGUGUUCUUUAAUAGGCGGCUGUAAAAGUUAACAUGAAGGAUCCUCUGGUAUGAAUUCUGGCAUCUCACUUCAUAACCCAAGGAAAAACAGAGAACCGAGAGGGAAAGCUGAAGCCCUGCUCGCCAUUGUCUCAGAGCAGCGUGGUGCACAGAAGCACCUGCUGUUGGCGGACCCCUCAGCUCUCCCUGAUUAAAGAUCAGAUUAUCAAUGUAGUUCUGGUCUGAAAUCUAUAAUUCUGUCUGGGCAUUAUGCUAAGUAUGCGUGCAGAUACAUCAAAACAGCUGAAGUGAUUAGAGCCGAGCAAAUUACUUUUCCGUUCCUGGAAGCUUUGUUCUACAUUUAGAGAGCGUAUAGGAAGGGGAAGAAGGGGCGAAGCGAUGUGAACAUCCAUGUGGAUUAUUUUCUCAUGUUUUAUGGCUUAUGUUCUUUGUAGGUGCAAGAUUUCUUUCCUAGAAUAUGCAAUUUUAAGGAAGUUUAGACUGUGUUUUAGGGAAGGCAAGUUAGAAACUAAUGCAUUUCCUAAUCAUUUUAAGCCCCUUCAAUCAAACAGGAUUACUGUGGGGCUCUAGCACUACGAGUGGAAAUUUCCUUAGCCCAUGCAAACGCAGAGCCCCUGCUCGGUUGUCACAUGCAAAACAUGCGGCAGAGAGCCUUGCGAAGCGCAUGUUUUUAAUCGUUUGUU
This is a long non-coding RNA of Cygnus olor (mute swan), 8319 nucleotides long. RefSeq lists it as uncharacterized. The record is from RefSeq and is a predicted model, not a curated record. NCBI's taxonomy places the organism in Eukaryota, Metazoa, Chordata, Aves, Anseriformes, Anatidae. The transcript has 3 exons.